GCACAUAUAGCUCAGUUGGAUAGAGCGUUCGCCUCCGGAGCGAAAGGUCGUGGGUUCGACUCCCAUUGUGUGCA
Eubacterium sp. CAG:76 is the source of this 74-nucleotide non-coding RNA. Lineage: Bacteria; Bacillati; Bacillota; Clostridia; Eubacteriales; Eubacteriaceae. The record is from Rfam.